RNAcentral lists this long non-coding RNA (461 nucleotides) under Lathyrus oleraceus (garden pea). RNAcentral's name for it is "Pisum sativum (pea) long non-coding RNA (PSAT_LNC014605)". The record is from RNAcentral. Lineage: Eukaryota; Viridiplantae; Streptophyta; Magnoliopsida; Fabales; Fabaceae.
AACUUCUUAUGAUGGCAUUCUAGAUUUUUUUCCUAAAGUCGUAAAAUGCUCCAAGAAUCUGCAAUUGACUUAUCGUACGAGGGAUGUUGAAACUCCCUGGAUCUAGUAACCUUGGUGGAAGCUUCUAAUGUAUAAUUGUACUUGUCUCGUUGUUCAAAAGUUCCUUAGAUAUGGUAAUGAUAUAGGAAUUGCAAUUUCUUUUUCUUUGUUUUUUUCUCCACCACUCAUUGUUUUCUCUCUCUACAAUCUUUUUUUUACUUCAUCAUGUUUUUCACUAUGCUCACCAUAUUUUCUCUUUCUCUUUCUUCACAGCUAUUUCCAUCUCGCUUUUUCGGUAAUGUUUUGGUUUUAACACCUUAGAAAACAUAUUCCAUCUUACAGUUAAAGCAUAUCAUCUUUGGAUUUUCUACUAUAUUACCAUCAUAGUUUCUAUUAGAUUUGGCUUCCAACUAUUGUGAGAG